AUUGAACGCUGGCGGCAUGCUUUACACAUGCAAGUCGAACGGUAACAGGCCGCAAGGUGCUGACUAGUGGCGGACGGUGGAGUAAUGCAUCGGAACGCGCCCAGUCGUGGGGUAUAACUACUCGAAAGAUUAGCUAAUACCGCAUACGAUCUAUGGCUGCAAGCGGGGGACCGUAAGGCCUCGCCCGAUUUGAGCGGCCGAUGUCAGAUUAGGUAGUUGGUGGGGUAAAGGCUCACCAAGCCAACGAUCUGUAGCUGGUCUGAGAGGAAGACCAGCCACACUGGGACUGAGACACGGUCCAGACUCCUACGGGAGGCAGCAGUGGGGAAUUUUGGACAAUGGGCGCAAGCCUGAUCCAGCAAUGCCGCGUGCAGGAAGAAGGCCUUCGGGUUGUAAACUGCUUUUGUACGGAAAGAAACGGCUCUGGUUAAUACCCGGGGCUAAUGACGGUACCGUAAGAAUAAGCACCGGCUAACUACGCG
This 482-nucleotide ribosomal RNA is filed under the name uncultured bacterium. RNAcentral describes it as "partial 16S ribosomal RNA". It matches the Rfam family "Bacterial small subunit ribosomal RNA", at positions 30 to 507 of the family's 1533-position model. The record is from RNAcentral.